Molecule: non-coding RNA, 3663 nt
Organism: Pantherophis guttatus
Lineage: Eukaryota; Metazoa; Chordata; Lepidosauria; Squamata; Colubridae
Source: RefSeq, a predicted model, not a curated record
GACACAUACAGUCCUGUACACUCAAAUUCCUGCCACCGGUUCCAUCGUCCUUGAAAUUAAAAGCAGGAUCCGUUAGGGGGCAGGAGAGAGCUGGAUUUGCAAGGCGGAGCAGAAAAGCCACCCUUUUCCUCAAUAGAGGUCAUGGGAUCUUAUCUCGGUCGGGCGUGGUGCUGCCUGCACCGCCAGAGCAUCACCCAGCUGAAUGGAGGAACCUCCCGGGUGGGGGGAAAGAUUCUGAGCUAUGACCGGGGAAACUUCUUUUGACGGCUCAACAACCUUCCUUGCAUCUGGGGGGCUCCGAUGCAUCUGCUAGUCCUUCUGAUCCAGAGAUCUACAAUUGUCACUUUAAAGGAUUACUCUGGGGCUGCAGCCGAGCGAACAGAAUCCUCCGAGUGGAGCUGACGAUUCCCAACUUCUCACCGAAGCUCUCCACUUGCAGCAUCUUCCUGCAAGGACUGAAAGAGGGAAGGAAGGAAGGAAGGGAAGGAAGGAAGGAAGGAAGGAAGGAAGGAAGGAAGGAAGGAAGGAAGGAAAGAUAGAUUUUUCUGAUCCUCCCUUGAAAUCCUCCCAUCCGGCUGUGCUGGAAAGGCAGUGGAUUAUGGCUCUACAGAAGCAGGUGGAAAGUUGACCUACUCUGCAGGGUUGGUUUCCCAAGGCAGCCACCAAGUACCAAAAGGAGGCAGGAGGAAACUAUUUGCUGAGAAAUAAUAAUAAUAAUAAUAAAAAAAGGAUAGGUGAACAUCUGGAGAGGGAGCGGUGCCAUUUUCACCUGCAAGGGCUAAUCCUUACCCUCUGAGGGUUUUAAAAGCCCCCUUUUUAAGGAGGCUGAGAGGGGACAUUGAGGCUAUGAAGAUGGCAGCAUCUCCAGCGUGAAGCUGCCGAUUAAUCUGCACCCACCUUAUAUUCUAGCCGGAAGAAAAUUUGGACAAUGCUAUUGUGAAUCCUCUUGGAUAAUCCUCGAAAUUGCUUCUCCAAAAAAGCCCUCCCCACUCCGCCCCCUUUCUCUCUCUCUCUCUCUCUCUCUCUCUCUUUUAUUUCUCCAUCUGCAAUGUGAUCAGAGGAGGAGGAGGAGGAAGAAGAAGAAGAGGUGGGGGAGGAAAGAAAGAAAGCACAAGAAAGCACAAGGAGAGCUUUCUUCCCUGUUCCAGGAUGCUCACUUCUAAACCUCUGGAGGAGGAAUAUUGGAUUGAAGGAUCCCGAAGACAAUCGGCUUUGCAGGAUUUCUAUCUUAUGGGACCGGAGCUGGGCAGGGGGGCCACCUCUGUGGUUUACAGCUGCGAAGAGAAAGGAUCUCAGGUCCAGUAUGCUGCCAAAAUAUUGAAGAAAACGAUUGACAAGAAAAUUGUCAGAACUGAAAUUGGAGUUUUGCUGAGGCUCUCCCAUCCAAAUAUUAUCAAACUCAAAGACAUCUUCGAAACCCCCACAGAGAUCACGCUCAUCCUUGAGUUGGUGACAGGUGGUGAGCUGUUUGACAGGAUUGUGGAGAGGGGAUUUUACAGCGAAAGGGAUGCAGCCCACGUGGUGAAACAGAUCCUGGAAGCUGUCUCCUAUCUGCAUUCAAAUGGAGUUGUCCACCGUGAUCUCAAACCAGAAAACCUUCUCUACGCAGAUCUCUCCCCUGAUGCUCCUCUCAAAAUUGGUGAUUUCGGUUUAUCUAAAAUUGUGGAUGAGCAAGAUACGAUGAAAACCGUAUGCGGCACACCAGGAUACUGUGCACCCGAAAUUCUCCAUGGCUCACCAUAUGGCCCUGAAGUGGAUAUGUGGUCUGUAGGCGUCAUAACAUACAUUUUGCUGUGUGGCUUUGAGCCCUUCUUUGACCCAAGAGGAGAUCAGUACAUGUACAGCCGAAUCCUAAAUUGUGACUAUGAGUUUGUCUCCCCUUGGUGGGAUGAAGUGUCCCUCAAUGCCAAGGACCUGGUGCAAAAGCUGAUUGUCCUGGAUCCCCAGAAGAGGCUAACAGUCCAUCAAGCCCUAGAGCACCCUUGGGUGACUGGCAAAGCUGCUAAGUUUGCUCACAUGGACAGCACCCAGAAGAAACUGCAGGAGUUUAAUGCAAGGAGGAAAUUAAAGGCUGCCGUGAAAGCAGUGGUGGCAUCCAGCCGUCUCGGCAACCACAGCCACCACGAGGGAUGCAGAAAUGAGCGCCAUCAGGAUGCUACCAAAGAAGAAAGUGCAGCUCCCUCAGCAGAGAGUGGCCUCUUUCUCCAAGAAGGGAACCUUUACAAGGAGGUUGAGAAGAUGGAGACUGACACAGAAGAAGCCAUGACCAUAAACACCCCUUUAGCCAAGGUCGAGAAGCUCGAAGGUUUCCAGAACGAGAGUCCCGUAACCCCUGUGAUGAUACUUAAUGGUUCCGGCUGCAACACUUAACCCUAUGGCCCAUCACCGCAUUGCUCUUGUCACCACCAAGUGUCUGUCACCACCGCCCGAUAGACCAAAUUCUAACAAUGACCAUCAAAGACUACCAGCCGGAUUGAGAGAGCAAUUCAGAUGGAGGCGGACCGAAAGCUAGUUGAAAUUAUGAGAAAGUGCUACGGGGACAUCUUCUACAACCUGGCAUCUUCUGGUUAUAUGGGAUUCCUGCUCCUAUCAUCUUCAUCCAGGGUUGAUGGGAACUAUGAUCCAAUUUUUUUUGGGAGAGCACCAGACUAGGGACGGCACUAAGGAUAGGCUGCUCUGGGCUGAAGAGCCGUUUGUCUUGUUUUGCAGAGACAUCCAUGUUCUUUAAUAUCUUUUCUGUGUGUGUGUGUGUGUGUCUUUGUGUGUGUCUUUGUACACACAAGCAUACAGCAAAAGGAUAAGAAUACGUGCAUUUGUUUGGACCCAGGUAGCUUAGAAAUCAUAUAUAUAUAUGAUGAUAUAUGUAUAUAUCAGUCGUGGUAUUCAGCCAGUUCUAUCCGGUUCAGGCGAAUUGGUAGGGGCGACUGCGGGAUGCCCCGCCCACCCGCACGGAUGUCAUGAUGUCCCAUUUUUUCAUGUUUUCGAGGCUCUGUGCAUAUGCAGAAGGCCUUGUGCAUGCACGGAAGCGCGGAAAUGUGCAUGUACGAACCGGUAGGGAAGGUAAGUGAAUACCACCCCUGGUAUAUAUAUAUGAUACACACACACACACACACACACACUACAAACUAUUCUAAAAAUACAAGCUCCAGGAUGUCUGCGUCUUUCUUUGUAUAUACACAUAUAUACAUACACUACAUACACACACAUACAUACAUACACACAAUAAAAAUAGGAUGAAAUACAUACAUAUAUACAAACAUAACGUGUGUGUGUAAUAUAUCCCAAUUUUUAUUGGGUAAAUAUUCUUGGUGGCUCCCUAAAAGGCAAAACUACCAGAAGUUUAUUUCUUUUCUAUUUGAAAUCCCAUAGUAAUAAUUCAGGGAGAAGCGGGAGAAAAGAACUUUUCUUCUAUUGCUGCAUAAGAUUCUUUUAACUGCAGGCACCAUCUUUGAAUCUGAGGCGUUCCACUCUCAGAAUAUCUGCUCUAAAGCCACUGCCGUCUUUCUAUUCAGCAAAUACCUUUGAACCAUGUAUACCCAGAAGGAUAAGGUGCUUUUCUACCUAGUCAGUGAUUUUUUCCAACUGUUUGUGAGCCAGAUGGAAUACAUUAAGGAACAGCUGCCUCCAGAUGCACCCUCCAACCAAUAAAUAGGUGCCGCCAUU